Molecule: ribosomal RNA, 253 nt
Filed under: uncultured bacterium
Lineage: Bacteria
Description: partial 16S ribosomal RNA
Rfam family: Bacterial small subunit ribosomal RNA
Source: RNAcentral
UACGGAGGGGGCUAGCGUUGUUCGGAAUUACUGGGCGUAAAGCGCACGCAGGCGGUUGGUUAAGUCAGAUGUGAAAGCCCCGGGCUCAACCUGGGAAUUGCAUUUGAAACUGGCCAACUAGAGUACGUGAGAGGGGGGUAGAAUUCCAAGUGUAGCGGUGAAAUGCGUAGAGAUUUGGAGGAAUACCAGUGGCGAAGGCGGCCCCCUGGCACAACACUGACGCUCAGGUGCGAAAGCGUGGGGAGCAAACAGG